RNAcentral lists this ribosomal RNA (565 nucleotides) under Saccharomyces cerevisiae (brewer's yeast). Its description in RNAcentral is "partial large subunit ribosomal RNA". It matches the Rfam family "Eukaryotic large subunit ribosomal RNA", at positions 78 to 658 of the family's 3401-position model. The record is from RNAcentral. Lineage: Eukaryota; Fungi; Ascomycota; Saccharomycetes; Saccharomycetales; Saccharomycetaceae.
CCUUAGUACGGCGAGUGAAGCGGCAAAAGCUCAAAUUUGAAAUCUGGUACCUUCGGUGCCCGAGUUGUAAUUUGGAGAGGGCAACUUUGGGGCCGUUCCUUGUCUAUGUUCCUUGGAACAGGACGUCAUAGAGGGUGAGAAUCCCGUGUGGCGAGGAGUGCGGUUCUUUGUAAAGUGCCUUCGAAGAGUCGAGUUGUUUGGGAAUGCAGCUCUAAGUGGGUGGUAAAUUCCAUCUAAAGCUAAAUAUUGGCGAGAGACCGAUAGCGAACAAGUACAGUGAUGGAAAGAUGAAAAGAACUUUGAAAAGAGAGUGAAAAAGUACGUGAAAUUGUUGAAAGGGAAGGGCAUUUGAUCAGACAUGGUGUUUUGUGCCCUCUGCUCCUUGUGGGUAGGGGAAUCUCGCAUUUCACUGGGCCAGCAUCAGUUUUGGUGGCAGGAUAAAUCCAUAGGAAUGUAGCUUGCCUCGGUAAGUAUUAUAGCCUGUGGGAAUACUGCCAGCUGGGACUGAGGACUGCGACGUAAGUCAAGGAUGCUGGCAUAAUGGUUAUAUGCCGCCCGUCUUGAA